UACGGAGGAUGCAAGCGUUAUCCGGAAUCAUUGGGCGUAAAGCGCGUGUAGGCGGUCCGGUAAGUCCGCUGUGAAAGUCGGGGGCUCAACCCUCGGAUGCCGGUGGAUACUGUCGGGCUUGAGUACGGAAGAGGCGAGUGGAAUUCCUGGUGUAGCGGUGAAAUGCGCAGAUAUCAGGAGGAACACCAAUGGCGAAGGCAGCUCGCUGGGACGUGACUGACGCUGAGACGCGAAAGCGUGGGGAGCAAACAGG
This 253-nucleotide ribosomal RNA is filed under the name uncultured bacterium. Its description in RNAcentral is "partial 16S ribosomal RNA". It matches the Rfam family "Bacterial small subunit ribosomal RNA", at positions 524 to 776 of the family's 1533-position model. The record is from RNAcentral.